AGACUGAAAAUAGACGCCUGGCAGCUGAUCGGGAGAAAAUAAACGGAAAGAACCAAUACAGACGGUGGAGCAACGCUUUCACUGUCAAAACUAUUACAGUUUAAAUAAAUCUGUAAAUACCUAGUAUCCAAUCGCUGGAUGCAUCUACAAAUGAAAAAGAAAACACCAGUUUGAAUAAAACGACACUGCUCACGUUGCACGCCGCCUGGCACGGGACAGUCACGUUGACUGCAGACUAGACGGCCGACCCUGCAGCUUGGCCCACGCUCGCCACAAAAGAGAAACAGAUCUCAGGUCAGUUUGAAUUGCGGGAUAUUCCUCUGUGAAUAGUGAGAAAAUAUAUUUGGAAGUGUAUUGUACAUUUGAGGAAAAUUACGUUUGAUUGGAAUGAAUAAUUGGCAGCUAAAAACAAAAAAGAAGGAACGACAGUUUAAUAACGUAAAAUACAUUCAACCUGCAAGUCAAUGACAUUCACAAACCUCGUGGAAAAUAAGAGUACGCCAACGAAAUAAAACACAGAACUAGUUCUGCACAACAGGAACAUUGACUGUAAAAAAUACAACAAACAAUACAUGUGUACAGUGGGAGGGAUAUAGAUUGAAUAGCACCCUUUUCUUUAGUUUAUAAUGUUUGUUGCCCUUUAAGCUGAACUGCAUUUAUUUAGCAAUAUAAUCUAUAUUACUAUAAUAAACCCAAUCAUUGUUGUUAUAGUAUACUAUUGUUGUGUAAUUUGUGUGUAUAUAUAUAUAUGCUAAGCUGUGUAUAAUUGUUAAUACUAUUACUACAGUAAUACUCCCCUGUAUAGCUAAAUGAUAUUCUGAGUUAACUAUAGGAAAAAAGGUUUUGGGGUCAUUAUAAUAUUGAAGUGAAGUAUUGACUGUGUUGCUGCACAAUACCUCUUCAGAAAUACAGCUGGAGAGUUAAGGUGGGGGAACCUAUAUUCCCCUGGAGGCACCACGUGUUCAAGCUGCAUUGUUACACAAAAACCCAGGCUGCCGAGACCUCUACAACACCAGAGAGGACAGCGGGUAAGGGGCUCCUGUUUACCAUCACACCUGCUGCAUGUUAUACGAUACAAAAAAUAAUCCCUUACAUACGUUUCAGGCAAUAUCGAACAUCAUUACAUCAUCAAAUUCUCUCCGAAAGCAAUCUCCAGAAUACUCUCGGCAGGCUCCCCCACACAAAGAAAACACCCGCUGUACUCUCCUGCUUCAUCUUUACAGAGCUAGUUACUAACAAAUAUACAAUACAUCUUCAUACACACUUCCCAACCCACCCACGUCACGUGGUCUCCGCUUCACAUGUGACCACUUACGGGAAUAAUACGGUGCAUUUUGCCAGCGCGUCGUACCUGGAGACACUUCGUAGAACAAUGGCGUCUGAAUUUAAAUUCAAAGCUUUCGGUGAUGCAUCUGCGUUGAAAGGUUAUGUGGGAUUAACGUAUGGCUGAUAGAACGCAGCUAACCAAUCAGAAAGCAGGAUUUUUCCAAGCAGGUUUAUAAUACACAUCAAUGGGUAAAUUUCACAGAAAUCGUGAAAUUCGUGAUAAGCUUGAAAAAAAUACUUAUUUUAAAAUCAUAUUCCCAUUGAAACCUGUUAGCAUCGACUGCACUGGUAAUUUUCACAUAUAUUCCCAGCGUCCUAUUUUGAGGACAGUCAGGUUAGACGUGCUCCUGUAAUCAGUCCACUGAACACUCACGCCAGCUAUGAAUCUCAAACACAUAGUAAAUAAGAACAUAAGGAUCUCAUCAAGCAGCUUCUUAAAGGAUCCCAGGGUGUCAGCUUCAACAACUUUACUGGGUAGUUUGUUCCAGACUCCUACAAUUCUCAGUGUAAAAACGUGCCUUCUAUUUUCUGUUUUAAAUAGCCCUGUACCUAAUUUCGAUUUGUGACCCCCGGUUUUUCAGGUAAAAAAAGUCCUGAGGGUCUACAUUGCCUACACCUUUUAAAAUUUUGAAUACCUGAAUCAGAUCCCUGCGUAGUCUCCUUUGUUCAAGACCAAACAGAUUUAGUUCCUUUAGCCUGUCUUUGUAUGACAUGCUUUUCAGACCAGGAAUAAUUCUGGUUGCUCUUCUUUGCACUCUUUCUAGAGCAGCAAUGUCUUUUUUGUAGCAGGGUGACCAAAACUGAAGACAGUAUUCUAGGUGAGGUCUUACUAAUACAUUGUAUAGUUUUAACAUUACUUCCCUCGAUUUAAAUUCAACACUUUUCACUAUAUAGUCAAGCAUUCUGUUGGGCCUUUUUAAUAGCUUUCUCCACAUUGUCUAGAUGAAGAUAUUAUUGUAUCGACAAACUUUUUCAUAGGUCUCUGUAAAAGAGAAAGAAUGAAUCUUGGUUAUAAAUCUCCCUCACGACCUGUGAGGGUGCUGUGUAAAGGGAACAGAGUGCCUCGGACUGGAUGGUCUGACAAUUCAUUCCAGGGAAAGGUGGAAGUCGGCCAUCUAGAAAGGAGGCGGAGCUACGGUACAUCAAGUCAUCGCUCCAGAAGGGAAGCGAUGUGGCAACCGCGGAUUGGAGGAGAAACGGUUGCACUCGCUAACCAAGGGGGCGUGACUGACGGUACAAAAGGGAACGUGGCUAAGCGAUCUGUUCCUUUGUUAUGGUUGCGAGCGAACCAAAAGGAGAACCAAAAACGUACCAUGAGUGUUUAGUGUUUUGUUUGUUUGUCAUGUCUAAUUAUACUUGUUUGUUCUUGUUAGACGGCUAACACGAUCCGGAGCUGUCGCUUAAGGCCAGCAGCAAACCUGGACAACACUUCACCACUGUGGCAGAUUUCAAAGCAAGUGCAGGCAAUUUUACUUGGGACUUUUAUGUUUUAAACAAAACACAGUUUUUUUUUUCCAAGCCAAAGGAGGCUGAAUGACCCCGCAAGCUACAAAAAUGCAUUUUAAUAAUAACAAUAAAAUAAAUAUAAGUACUACAUUAACUCGUAUUUUCCUGGAUGUUUAAAUCUGUGUUUCUGCCUCAGUCACGAUUUCAAAGCUCCCUGGAGAUAUACAUCUCAAAUUUCAAGGGGGUCCUGGCAAGAGAACGAGGCAAGAAAUAAUGUUAAAAAAUCAAUAGCAAAAGAGAUAUUCAAAACAGGACAAAAAUAGAUAAUACAAUAAUAAUGCAAAAAAAAACACAUUAAUACAAUUAAAAGCAUAAAAAGUAAAACAAUUACAAUUUACUUGAUCCUGAUCACAGUCGAUAUUUACAGGAUUUGCGACCCUGAGUUUAGGAACUGUUGAUAGUUCCCUUGAGUUAACAGCAUCAAUUAAUUAGUGCAUGUCGCCAAGCAAUUGUAAGCAGGGUGGAGCUCACCCAGGUGUUGAAGGUGAGUCUUAAAAGAGUUUGUUAUAACAGGGAGUCGUUUGAAUUGAUAGAGAAAAGCGUCCAUGUUUUGAUUACAUUUCUUUUGCAAUUAUUGUUGAGGAUUUCCAGUAUAUAUUUUGACAAAUGCAUUUGUAUAAUCUGUCAAAGGCAUUUGCAAAGUCUCAGUUGUGCAUUUGUAUUUAGAUGCAACUGAAGUACAUGCAUCUAUUUGUAUUUGCAUUUGCGUUGGUAAGAUUUGCAGGUAUUUGCAUUUGCAUUUAAAUGCACUUGAACUCCACUAUGGCUCCAGUCGGAAUCGAUUCAGUUCCUUCAACAUGCCUUCGUAACACAUUCAUUUUAGUCUAGUUGUUUUUCGUUAAGAUGCAACAAAACUAAGUUUCUAAACCUAGUUUAGUACCAGAGUUCAUUUUUUAAAUGAAAAUCCAUGUGUGUUAUGUGGUUCUUUCAAAGCUGCACAUGUGAGACCUGUGUAGUGAGAGGUGCAGGACAGGCAAGAUUUAUAGCAUUAUUAUGUCAGCUACAAUAUCUUUAACCCUUUGCAGAUGGCCCAUUAUAAUUCUGAUUGAAAAUAUACAGUAGAGUGCAAAUUUAUUAGAAUUAUUUAGAACCUCAUACAAGUACAAAGCUUCUGUGAAAUCAUAUCAAAAUUGGCACAACCACCCCCCACCCCCCCCAAGAAAUUUACAAAAUAUUAACCGUAGGGAAAUAGUGACAGUAGAAACCUCAGGGAUGACACUCCAAUGAAAACACCAAUAGAGAUCCUUUUUUUUAUUUGGUGCAGCGUGACGGUGGGGUGAAAGUUGAACUCUGCUCAACAUAACCAUAAUAUUUAGGUUUGCAAAAUAUGAUCUGGAAGUACUGAAACCAAACAUCAAUAACCUUUGAUUUAAUGUCCACUUUUCUCCCCAGUCCUGUGAAGAAGCAAAAUGAAGGCUGCUUUUCUUCUUUGUCUGCUUUGCAGUUUGACACUCACCUUGGCUUUCGUCUGUGGACCUCUCCCAAAAGAGAAAUUUGAGACGUGUGACAGCAAAGGAUUGAGCAACUGCACCAAAAUUGGACACUCAUGUUACCAGUACUUCCGAGGGCCUCUGUCUUUUUAUUGUGUCAAUGAGUUUUGCAGAAAUCGAGGGUGUGGAGGACACCUGGCUUCAAUCCACAGUUCAAGGGAGAACAACUUGGUCUUUAAUCUUGUGCGGCAAGGGAGCCCCUCGAACCCAAGAGGCUGGAUCGGGGGGCUCAGGUUUCCCAAGACUAACCUCUUCAUAUGGUCUUAUGGGACAAAAUGGGAUUAUAAUUACUGGGCAGCACACCAGCCUGACAACUGGCACAGCAGCGAGGAUUGUCACCCUUUUACACACCAUAACAACUAACCUCUUCAUAUGGUCUGAUGGGACAAAAUGGAAUUAUAAUUACUGGGCAUCAAACCAGCCUGACAACUGGCAAAGCAACGAGGAUUGUGUUCAUUUCACCGAAUACAAUGUCUCACGCUGGAACGACCUGAGCUGCACUACUCCGCAGGGUUUCGUCUGCAAAUUUCACCAUCGAGGCUGAAGACAAGAGGGGCGACGGAGGAUGAUAACAGCGCUUUUACCGCUUUCUGCUUGUUGGAAAUAAAUAAAUAAAUAGUCCUGCAGUGGUAGAAUAGGAGGAGUAAGAAUACACCACGUUAUCGAUGAGUCACGAUACUUUCUUUACAUGAUACAGCAGUGUGCACAUUUAUUAGGUAAGGCUCUGUGAAACCAUCGGUAAUACUAAUCAGAAUGUGUGAAACCAGCCCUAGAUUACAAUGUUUAAUUCAUAGCUUCAAGACACUCGAAACCACCAGUAGCUGAAAUAUUCAUCUGCUUGACUUAAAGGUUUUGCCCUGCAUUGUAAAAUCUGUUUCAUAGAUCACUAGGCUAUUAACAACGACAGGGUGACUGCAGUCCAAGUUAUCAGCCUUAAAUGGCUGCAUGGCCUUACAAUGGAACGGAACUGAACUGAACUAAUCGGUACGAUUGGAUUUCGAUUCAUUUUAAUUCAACCGUUAAACCCUGUUUUAUAUUAUAUUUCAUUACCGCAAUCUGUCUUCAUUUACUCGAUUUUAUUUAUUAUAUAUAUUUUUUUCUUUUACAAAUAUGAUAUAUAGAGAAUAAUGCACGGGGUAGUGUGUGAUAUGAGAAUGCCCACCCGAGGGGCGGGAUGUUACAUUAACCCAGAGGGCGAAGGCCGUGGGGGCAUUCAAUUCUCAUUUAUCUCACACUACCCCAUGCACUGUUUUUUAUAAUCUCUGCUGAGCAAUUUGUUUUCCCCGGGGUGUUGACUCGGCAGAAUCCAGGUAUAUAUACGUAAUGCAGCAUCUAAAUUUUCAGAGGAUUUAUAAUGUUUUUUGUCUUGGCAUUCUGUAAUUCUGAUUGGUUCAGAAAAGCUAUAACAACAUUUAAAAAAAGCAAUCCAGUAUAUUAAAAAAUACUUUAUUGGUUAACCCCCCC
Molecule: RNA transcript, 5786 nt
Organism: Acipenser ruthenus (sterlet)
Lineage: Eukaryota; Metazoa; Chordata; Actinopteri; Acipenseriformes; Acipenseridae
Gene name: galactose-specific lectin nattectin-like
Exons: 7
Source: RefSeq, a predicted model, not a curated record